Myotis davidii is the source of this 75-nucleotide non-coding RNA. The record is from Rfam. NCBI's taxonomy places the organism in Eukaryota, Metazoa, Chordata, Mammalia, Chiroptera, Vespertilionidae.
GGUGGCUCUUAGAUAAUGCACCCUGGUAUUGGGCUCCCUCCCCUCUGGUUCCAAGUGUGUCACCUGAGAACUACA